UUCCUAUCCCUACCUUUCUUCUCUCCUUGUCUUCCUUAAUUCCCUUCCUAGGCUCUUGUCCUAAAAUCGGACUUCUCCUUACUAUUUUUAGACUUAUCCUAAUAAGAGAAGGAAGAAACUAAUUAUAAAAUAGAAAGAGAAUGUUAGAAAGAAAGAAGAAAUUAAAAAUCUGAAUGAAUCAAAUCCUCCUGGCGUACCCCCAUUAAAUACUUAGCGAUAGGUUGCCUUCGGGAAUGAUUCACGCUCCAUCCACACACCAUCUCAUGCCCCAAAAAUUUUUUUAUUCCCCCAACCAAUUUUUCAUUCCCAUCAAGAGCCUCAUGAUACAUGACAAGUAUCUGAAAAAAAUCUGAGAGAUGCUUCACGUAGAAGGACUCUUUGGAAUAUUUUUCUCGAUGUUUCUCUGAUGCGUCGCACAGCUUUCCAUGGUGUAAUUUUUCUCUACCACCCA
This 451-nucleotide long non-coding RNA is filed under the name Elaeis guineensis (African oil palm). RNAcentral describes it as "long non-coding RNA (EGUI_LNC052453)". Lineage: Eukaryota; Viridiplantae; Streptophyta; Magnoliopsida; Arecales; Arecaceae. The record is from RNAcentral.